AUGAUAGGAGCGCCACAACCACGCACAAUCCUCAUAGACCAAGCUCGUGCAAUGGAGGUUGCCAUAGAAGAUGCCAUGCCACAUACAACACAUCGGUGGUGCAAAUGGCAUGUGUUGAAGAAAGCAAAAGAGUGCCUUGGGCCACUGCUAGGCAAAGGUAGUGAGUUCAAACAGGAGUUCAACAAGAUGGUGCAUCACAUGGUUAGCGAGAAAGAAUUUGAGGAUGGUUUGGCAUGUAUGGUUCAGAAGCACGGUCUACAAAAUAAUGUAUUUCUUACACAAAUAUAUGAGACUCGGAUGAAAUGGGCUAAGCCUUACUUCAUGGAUGUUUUUUGUGCCAAGAUGACCAGCACGCAACGGAGUGAAAGUGCAAACCAUUUGCUGAAAGGAUAUGUGCCACCAGGAUCCCUGAUGCACCUUUUCGUCAGGCAAUAUGAGAAGAUGCAAUUUGACAGAGAUUCGGAGGAGAGCUAUCAAGAGAAGAGAACCAAACUGGGUGGUGUUGUGCUCGCUCAGAACCUACCUAUUGAGAUACAUGCAUAA
RNAcentral lists this ribosomal RNA (543 nucleotides) under Triticum aestivum (bread wheat). Its description in RNAcentral is "partial small subunit ribosomal RNA". The record is from RNAcentral. Lineage: Eukaryota; Viridiplantae; Streptophyta; Magnoliopsida; Poales; Poaceae.